Molecule: ribosomal RNA, 442 nt
Filed under: Tripos fusus
Lineage: Eukaryota; Dinophyceae; Gonyaulacales; Ceratiaceae
Description: partial Bacterial large subunit ribosomal RNA
Rfam family: Bacterial large subunit ribosomal RNA (bases 1-373)
Source: RNAcentral
GUGCUGUUUCAUUGGGGCGAUGACCUUCUUUAAUCGAACGAAGGUGGACAAAGACUUUGAAUGUCUAAACAUCACAAUACUUUAGAAACCAGUAAGUCUAAAGCUAGAAUCUUGUUUUAAUGGGCAAGCAGCUUGGUAUCCAGUCUUUAAAUGCUGUCUUCAUGAUCUUUAAGAGAAGUUAUCAGAUAAAAGCUACUCAAGGGAUAACAGGCUUCAUCUUUUGGCUAGCUCACAUGAAAUGAAGGGUUUGGCACCUCGAUGUCGGCUUAUCUUGUCCAAAAUAUGGAGUCUCUAUUCUUGGUGGGAGUGCUCAUCCCAAAACAAGGUACGUGAGCUGGGUUCAGAACGAUGUAAAUCAGUUUGGUAUUUAUCUUUUUAAGCAACUUUGAAUAAUCUUUUCCAAAAUAAGAAGUUUUAUCUCAGUACGCAAGGACCGGCGACA